Oryzias melastigma (Indian medaka) is the source of this 393-nucleotide non-coding RNA. The record is from the annotation of a RefSeq genome assembly. NCBI's taxonomy places the organism in Eukaryota, Metazoa, Chordata, Actinopteri, Beloniformes, Adrianichthyidae.
AUGGCGUUCAGGAACAAACUUCCUGUGAUUCUGCUGCUUCUGUGGACGUCAGGUGAAGAUGUGACCCAAACGCCGCUGCUGUGGACGGAGGAGGGCGGGACCGCCACCAUGAACUGCAGCCACAGCAGAGAUAUCAGCCACAUCCAGAUGUACUGGUACAGACAGCUGCCUGGAAAAACCAUGGAGCUGAUCGUCUUCACGUCUACAGCUCAGAAGGACUUUGGAGCUUUCAGCAAAGAGAAGUUCUCAGCCACCAAGACAGAAGCUGAGAGAGGAACCUUCACAGUGAAGGAGGUGCAGCCUGAAGAUAAAGGCUUGUAUUUCUGUGCUAGGGAGCUACAGAGUCAGAUGAUGAUGCAGAAGCGUUUCCAGCCUGUGGCUCCUCCCCUCUGA